Molecule: ribosomal RNA, 321 nt
Filed under: Escherichia coli
Lineage: Bacteria; Pseudomonadati; Pseudomonadota; Gammaproteobacteria; Enterobacterales; Enterobacteriaceae
Description: bacterial SSU rRNA
Rfam family: Bacterial small subunit ribosomal RNA
Source: RNAcentral
GCUGCUUUGCUGACGAGUGGCGGACGGGUGAGUAAUGUCUGGGAAACUGCCUGAUGGAGGGGGAUAACUACUGGAAACGGUAGCUAAUACCGCAUAACGUCGCAAGACCAAAGAGGGGGACCUUCGGGCCUCUUGCCAUCGGAUGUGCCCAGAUGGGAUUAGCUAGUAGGUGGGGUAACGGCUCACCUAGGCGACGAUCCCUAGCUGGUCUGAGAGGAUGACCAGCCACACUGGAACUGAGACACGGUCCAGACUCCUACGGGAGGCAGCAGUGGGGAAUAUUGCACAAUGGGCGCAAGCCUGAUGCAGCCAUGCCGCGUG